This 425-nucleotide ribosomal RNA is filed under the name uncultured bacterium. Its description in RNAcentral is "bacterial SSU rRNA". It matches the Rfam family "Bacterial small subunit ribosomal RNA", at positions 356 to 772 of the family's 1533-position model. The record is from RNAcentral.
GGGGAAUUGUUCGCAAUGGGCGCAAGCCUGACGACGCAACGCCGCGUGGAGGAUGAAGACCUUCGGGUCGUAAACUCCUUUCGACCGAGAAGAAUAGCUCCCGACCUAAUACGUUGGGAGCAUGACGGUAUCGAGGGAAGAAGCCCCGGCUAACUACGUGCCAGCAGCCGCGGUAAUACGUAGGGGGCAAGCGUUGUCCGGAAUCAUUGGGCGUAAAGCGCGUGUAGGCGGCCUUGUAAGUCCGUUCUGAAAGUCCGGGGCUCAACCCCGGGAGGCGGAUGGAUACUGCAAGGCUCGAGUACGGAAGAGGCGAGUGGAAUUCCCGGUGUAGCGGUGAAAUGCGCAGAUAUCGGGAGGAACACCAAUGGCGAAGGCAGCUCGCUGGGACGUUACUGACGCUGAGACGCGAAAGCGUGGGGAGCAAA